RNAcentral lists this unclassified non-coding RNA (336 nucleotides) under soil metagenome. RNAcentral describes it as "partial contains 5.8S ribosomal RNA, internal transcribed spacer 2, and large subunit ribosomal RNA". The stretch from base 1 to 120 matches the Rfam family "5.8S ribosomal RNA", at positions 35 to 154 of the family's 154-position model. The record is from RNAcentral.
GAUGAAGAACGCAGCGAAAUGCGAUAAGUAGUGUGAAUUGCAGAAUUCAGUGAAUCAUCGAAUCUUUGAACGCACAUUGCGCCCCUUGGUAUUCCAUGGGGCAUGCCUGUUCGAGCGUCAUUUGUACCUUCAAGCUCUGCUUGGUGUUGGGUGUUUGUCUCGCCUCUGCGUGUAGACUCGCCUCAAAAUAAUUGGCAGCCGGCGUAUUGAUUUCGGAGCGCAGUACAUCUCGCGCUUUGCACUCAUAACGACGACGUCCAAAGUACAUUUUUACACUCUUGACCUCGGAUCAGGUAGGGAUACCCGCUGAACUUAAGCAUAUCAAUAAGCGGAGGA